UCUUGACAUUGCACCAUUGUUGACGCUUCAAGUAGCUAGCAGAAAUAGAGACCGAUCACCUUUCCAGAGCUCAGAAAACAUUUUCUCUUUCUUUCUCUUCCAAAUCUCUGACUCCAGUCCCGUCGUAGUGUAUCACCUGAUGAAUGAAACCGUGGUAGUGUGUUAAGGAGUUGUGCAAAAAGCCAUGGCCUUUAAACCCUAGCAACAAAAAGCAUCCAAAUCGUUAGGGUUUAUUUCUUCCGUUGAUAUUCAAUAACUUUAAAAGGUUCUUCAAAGAUGUCGAAAUCCAAGAGAGAUCCAGUAGUGACGUCAAAAAAAAAAAAAAAAAGGAAUGGAUCAUAAAGAGAACAUAGUGACCAGCUUUGAGAACAUGAGGAAUCUCAAGUUUAAGCAGCUCGGAUAGCAACUCAAAUCCACUAGCAGUUAAAAGUGCCUACUUGGAUUGGUGAUAAUGAAGAAGAAGAGUUUGUAGGCGUUGGUGCUUGAUUUGGUCCUACUUUGGAAAAGUGAGAAUAUGGAGAGUUCAAAGAUUGAGCAUGCAAAGAGGGUGGAACAAUUGAGGAAAAUGGAGCUUAAGAGGGCUGAUUAUAUAAGACUGAGAAAGCAAAAAAAGAGGUUGAGAAGUUGGAGUCUAUAAUGAUGGUUUCUUCGCAGGCGAUCGAGUCAACGUCGGAUGAAAUAGUCAAACUCCGAGAGGAAGAGCCGCAACUUGUUGAGCUUGUUAAAGGACUAAAGAAACGUCGGUCCUACAUGAGCUUGGUCUCUGCUUGGCUCACGGCUUUUCUGAUGGGAAGAUCACAGUUCAUACAAACAAGUCAGAUGGUGGGUGGGACACCACACGGAUCCCCCAGGCUCAUCCAAUUUGAGUCACAUCGGUUUCAUCGGCUCCGCCAAUGGCUCCUUGGGCUCUGGUUGGAUCUGGUACUUUUGAACCUGUACAAAAGCAGGCUUCUGGUGGGUGUGAUAACACAGUUAAACUUUGGGUAAUGAAUAUCGAUUUCGUACAUUCAUAGUAAUUUGAUGUGCCCUUUGUUUGACGUUAGCUGCAGUUUGAGCCUCUAAACUGGGUCGGUUUAUCCAGCUCUUUUUUAUUUUUUAAUAUUUGUUUGUUCUUGCCUUAAUUAUGGUAGUUCGCUUUAUUCACUUAUUAAUGUUUGAUUAUUAUUUGUCAUCAGGUUGUCAACUUUGAAGCUUUCUUAGCCAAGGCUCACAAUUAAUUAGAUUAGAUAGAUGUUGUAGCUUUUUUCAUUGAUUUAAUCUUGGAGAUUUUGGCACAGGUAUUAGAUACAACUGAUGGCGAACCUUAGGGUCCACUUGGUACCGCAUUAGUAGAAAUUGCACACGCAACUAAAAAUUUGUAAAUAUGUAUAUCCAUGUAUAAAAAAAAACUUUUUUCAAUAGUAUCUUACUAAAGUGUAUUAGGUUGUCAAGAAACUGGUUGCUUUUGAGCAAAGUGGUAGUAUAGCGGAGUGCCUAAUGGUUGUGACUUUCUUUGUCAAAAAGGGGGUGGCUUGAUGUGCUUAGAAUUUGACUACACUUCCCACUGCAAUCAUACAUAUGUUUCAUUAUAUGUGUAUAUAUACACACACAACUUAUAUACCCUUAUUUUUUAAUUAUUUUUAGGUUUGAAUUAUGUUUCAGUUCUGCCAACUCCGCCGUAACGCGUGGGAAUAUCGGGUGAUAACGUAAAGAGUAUCGGGUGAUCCGUGGCAAGAUGAUUGGUAUUUUUUCACUCAAUUUCUUGUCAAGCUUUGGAAUGCCUUCGGUCAUCAUUCUGACCCGUUUCUAAACCGUACCGGGUUGUUUGUAUUAUAGGUUGUAUGUAGUGUUUGUAUUAUAGGUUCUAUGUAGUGCUUUUGUUGGAGAAUGCAGGGCCUGUUUUUAGAACCAAUGGAAGGUAUUUCAGAUGACAAAAACGCUCUUCUUUUUGGAAAUGGUAUAUUCAUUUUUAUAGCCUAAAGUUGGCAUGGAUAAGUGUUGUAAGUUGUUACCUCUGAUACUGUGGAAAUAACAGUU
Molecule: RNA transcript, 2016 nt
Organism: Helianthus annuus (common sunflower)
Lineage: Eukaryota; Viridiplantae; Streptophyta; Magnoliopsida; Asterales; Asteraceae
Exons: 6
Source: RefSeq, a predicted model, not a curated record